GAGGGGAGGAUAACGUCCUAUUGGUAAGUGCACAAAUGGUUAUGACUUCGCGAGAUUUGGUAUUUCUUAUUUAUCUAGUUCAAUAUUAAAAUGCAUUAACACAACUUUAUAUUGAUUUCAUAUGUUUUAUAUAAAUAAGGUAUUGGACAGUUCAUAUUAAUGACCAGUUUGUUAAAAUUGAAGUUUUUAUUUUAUUUUUUUCCCUACACUUUUAGGGACAAUAGUACCUUUCGAGGAUCUGGUAUUUUUGGGGAAUUCAGACUUUAUAGUUUCUUUUAUUUAACAGAUUUACGAUUUUUAAGGGAGAGGUUGGAAAAAUAAAGCAUUAAGAAGUGAAAUCAUAUCUGUUGAAUAAAAAAAACCCAAUGAAACCGUCAAUAAAGGGAGCUACUAUUUGAUUUUUAUUUUGGGGGAGGGGCUAGGAUGAAUAAUUUUGUCCUGCAUUUUUUUGUUGAACUCUCUAUCCUGUGUUUUUAUUUUUACUCUAUUCGGUCCUCCUUUUUUUCAUCCUGAUUUUUUUUUACAUAAAUUGUCAUCCUGCCUUUUUGUUUGGCCAAGAUGUUCAUCCGGCCUUUUUUUUUACUCAAAUCUCCUGUCCUGCCUUUUUCCAAACAUCUCCCCUUAUCAUAGAUCCCUUAUUGAUACGUUUGGCUCAACACAACUUCUUCGACCAACUUCAAUAAUACAUGUCAUAUACCGUAUAAAUGUAAUAAUUUGUAGCUUGAAAAAUCUAAUAUGAACGUGUAUACCAUCUAUUUCAACUUUUCCUUCUUUACAUAGAUAGUCAACCCAUGGUAAAUAUAGGCAACAGUAGUUCGGUGGCGUAUUCAGAGAUUUUCCAAAAGGGAUUGGGGACUGGCUGCCUAAGAGUAGGCCCGCUACAGUCAUGCUUCAUUGAUUCCCUAUACAAUCAACCAAAUUUCCCCCACAAAAAGGUGAUGCGAGAACCUUGACACUCCCUCGAAGUCCACCUCUGUAGUCUUCCAAUUUUUAAUGUCAUAGUUUGAUUAAGAAAAACCGAGACCAGGCAACAAUUUAAAACCGAUAGAAAGUCAUCAAAAUAAUGUAACUUCAUGCCCUCCUUUACUUUAUUCAGUGAAAGUUUUGGUCUGUAUUCUUAAACUGUAUUAUGAGAAUGAUAUUUAUAUCAACUUCAUAUCCACGUAAAUCCAUUUUGAAUGUUAACUUAAUUUCUCAUAAUGUUGGGGACAUUUGCAUAUAAGUCUGCUAAUCCCCCUUAUGUCAUUUCUUUUUAGAAUAGCGGUUUUCAUUUAUUCUUUGUUGAUUUUAAAAUAAUAUGUUUUUUUUUAUCGUGACUGCUAAAUAGGGAAUUCAUUUAGUGGGGAAAAAAACAUUCGUAAAUUUUGAGUUACGAUCAUCUUUUUAUAAAAACAAGUCAAAGUUACGAUCAUCUGUAGACGAAGUUACGAUCAUCAUCGUGAUUUUUUGAAUCUCGAUUUUCGUUCUUCUGUUUGUUUUUCUGUAACUU
Molecule: long non-coding RNA, 1489 nt
Filed under: Mytilus galloprovincialis (Mediterranean mussel)
Lineage: Eukaryota; Metazoa; Mollusca; Bivalvia; Mytilida; Mytilidae
Source: RNAcentral